Molecule: long non-coding RNA, 1146 nt
Filed under: Brassica rapa (field mustard)
Lineage: Eukaryota; Viridiplantae; Streptophyta; Magnoliopsida; Brassicales; Brassicaceae
Description: long non-coding RNA (BRAP_LNC004588)
Source: RNAcentral
GAAAGUGAAACUAAAUAUUCCAAUGAACAAAUUUAUCAAAAGUUCAUAUUUAUGUGGAUGUCUAUAUGGGACAAACAAUUUUUUUUAGACAAUUAUAGAAUGUAGUCACGAAAAAUCAAUCUUAAAAUAUAUAAUUAAAAAAAAACCAUUUAAGCAAAUCAUCAAAAUUUUCAAUAUUACAGCAAAUAAGAAUAUAAAGACCAACUAUAUUCUCUUCAUGUAUAAUGUGUUGUGGUAAGAUUCAAAAAAAUUAACUUACUUUACAGUAACGAAAAAUUAGAUUUUUAAUUCCAAAUUUACAGUAAAAACAUAACAUUUUAUAAAACUAAACAAUUGACAUAAUAGUAUAAAAAUAUAUAAAAAAAAAUUAAAAUACUAUCCGCGCGUAGCGCGGACAAGGACCUAGUAAUUGCUAACAGUAAUCCCAAUCACGUGCUUUAACGUUGGUAUCAUGUGUCUAUCACGGUUCGCUUCAUGUGCAAGAAUAUAAAAAAGUGAGAAAAAUAAAGAAAUUAUUCAGAUCUCGCAGCCUUUCAGUCUCCGCACCUGAGCCAGUCUGGAUCCAUCUGUACAACCCCCUCCAUGUUUUUUAUUCUUGGGUGCUAUGGCCAGUGGAGUUAAUGCAGAAAAUGAAGAAUCACAAAUUAUAACUUAUCCUCUAUUAAUCUUAGUUAGAAAAAUGAAUAUGCUAAUAACAUUUGUAAUUUUUUUUAUCAUAGAUCAAAUUUCAGUUCCAAUAAAAUUUGUAAAAUAAAACUGAUUUUACCUCAAUGAAUUGUGUUUAUGGAUUUACCUGAAAAAAUAGUGUUUCUCUAUUUGCGACAGGUUCUUUUGCAAAAGAAUUAACUUAUUGUCCACAUAAUGACAGGAAAAUAUACAGAAUUUCCUGCUAUGAAAACAAAAUAUCCACAAUUAUUUGCUCAGUGGGUACCAAUCUUUAUUUGUAAAUGCCAACUUGAAGAUAGAGUGUUUAAAUAUUUAUGUAUGUCAUGGGCCAACGAACCUAACAGCCGUUAGAGCAUCUGCAUUAGUGAACUCCAUGGGGAGUUCACACAGUUUUCGAAAAAAAAAAAAUAUUAAAAUAAACAAAAGCAAUGAACCUCCUUCUUAGAAGUUCACUGCAUUGAACCCGGAUCAUCACUGUAG